GAUCCAACCAAGUCUGUCAUGAAGAGCUGCAAUGAGGCAUCCCCGAGAGAAAGGCGAGUCCAGCAUUCAAUUCUAGAACAUUUUCCAAAGAUGCCUUUCAACAAAAUGAUUGUUCCAGAAGCUCCUGUAAUCCUAGCACCAGUUCUCACCGAUCAAAUAAGGGAAAUGUUGUGGCCCCAUGACUUUUACAGGAGGAGAACAGACUGCUUAAUGUGGAGUCUUCCAAUGGUGUGAUGAAUGCCCCACAGAUGGCUAACACAGACGACUGUCAGAGGACCCAGUAAGUUGGGAA
This is a long non-coding RNA of Ochotona curzoniae (black-lipped pika), 292 nucleotides long. RefSeq lists it as uncharacterized. The record is from RefSeq and is a predicted model, not a curated record. The transcript has 3 exons. NCBI's taxonomy places the organism in Eukaryota, Metazoa, Chordata, Mammalia, Lagomorpha, Ochotonidae.